RNAcentral lists this ribosomal RNA (894 nucleotides) under uncultured bacterium. RNAcentral's name for it is "bacterial SSU rRNA". It matches the Rfam family "Bacterial small subunit ribosomal RNA", at positions 505 to 1398 of the family's 1533-position model. The record is from RNAcentral.
GUGCCAGCAGCCGCGGUAAUACGGGGGGAGCGAGCGUUGUUCGGAUUUAUUGGGCGUAAAGGGCGUACAGGCGGUAGUGUAAGUCAGAUGUGAAAUGCCUCGGCUCAACCGGGGAUCUGCAUUUGAUACUGCAUUACUUGAGUACAGGAGAGGAGAGCGGAAUUCUAGGUGUAGCGGUGGAAUGUGUAGAUAUCUGGAAGAACACCAGUGGCGAAGGCGGCUCUCUGGCCUGAUACUGACGCUGACGCGCGAAAGCUAGGGGAGCAAACAGGAUUAGAUACCCUGGUAGUCCUAGCUGUAAACGUUGGGCACUAGGUGUUGGGGGUAUCGACCCCCUCAGUGCCGAAGCUAACGCAUUAAGUGCCCCGCCUGGGGAGUACGGCCGCAAGGCUGAAACUCAAAGGAAUUGACGGGGGCCUGCACAAGCGGUGGAGCAUGUGGUUUAAUUCGAUGCAACGCGAAGAACCUUACCUGGACUUGACAUGUGCCUGAAAACCCUAGAGAUAGGGCCCCUCUUCGGAGCGGGUUCACAGGUGCUGCAUGGCUGUCGUCAGCUCGUGUCGUGAGAUGUUGGGUUAAGUCCCGCAACGAGCGCAACCCUUGCCCUUAGUUGCCAGCAGGUAAUGCUGGGCACUCUAGGGGUACUGCCGGUGAUAAAUCGGAGGAAGGCGGGGAUGAGGUCAAGUCAUCAUGGCCCUUACGUCCAGGGCUACACACGUGCUACAAUGGCCGGUAUAAAGGGUUACAAUACCGCGAGGUGGAGUCAAUCCCAAAAAGCCGGUCUCAGUUCGGAUUGCAGUCUGAAACUCGACUGCAUGAAGUUGGAAUCGCUAGUAAUCGCGGAUCAGCACGCCGCGGUGAAUAUGUUCCCAGGCCUUGCACACACCGCCCGUC